Long non-coding RNA from Manis pentadactyla (Chinese pangolin), 1102 nucleotides. RefSeq lists it as uncharacterized. The record is from RefSeq and is a predicted model, not a curated record. The transcript is spliced from 3 exons. NCBI's taxonomy places the organism in Eukaryota, Metazoa, Chordata, Mammalia, Pholidota, Manidae.
GCUCCGCAAGCCUCGAGGGGUGGCCACGUAGCCCACGACGCCCACUACCACCAGAGGCGGUGUCUCCACGAUCGUCACCGCCUCUACCUCCUCCCUCUUGGAAAUCUCUGGAAGAGACCCAGAGACAGAGGCAUAGAGUUUCCCCCUCCAGGCCCUCCAGGAAUGGACUAGGAGAGCAGCAGCCAGGCAGCACCUCCCAAGGGGUAGAGCUGGGCCUCCUUGAGUGGAGCGUGGACAAACAUUCUACUUUAACGAUGAUGAAUGUAUGUUGAAGAGAUCUAGAAAAAAGCCUGUAACUUGUCCAAAACCCAUGAUUUGACAGCUGUCACCACUAAGACUGAUACAAUGGGAAAGAGGCCUGUCAGCCAGAGCUCCGGCCCCUGCUGUCUUCGCCAAUCACCUACUGCCUCACAGGACCAAGGACCAAGGACCAUCCCUGCUGGGAGAGACUCCAGAGGCCCACCUGCCCUUCCCCAGGAGGCCGGCUUGCUCCGGCUCCAGCACCCCCAGACCACUGACCAUGGUGGCGGGUCCCUGCAGGUCAGGAACGGAAGGGGCCUCCCCACCAGGCUCCGGAGGUCGAGUGACAGGGCCAGGACAUACAGAAGCCAGAUCCCAGAUUUAGCCCCUGGCAGGGGUGCUAGGUCAUCUGUGGCAGGCACGGUCUCUGGUGCCAGAAACAGGCUUGGCCCAGGGCAGGAUGAAGUGGGGCAUCAGAUGGGCAGCCUGGAGCGGGGACAUUGAGAUAAGGCUGGCACUCUUUUCAAGGGCUCUGGGACUCGGUCACACCCACUUUGUUUUCUGCCUCACGUGACCCUUCCAGGACGUGGACAGCUUGGCCACCCUGGUAGGGGGUCAAGGAACCCAGGCGGCUGCUGAGAGGAGGGCCUCAGUCUAGGCGGCCGACACUGAGGCAGAGGGACCUCCUGUCCUGUCUGAAGGCUGUGAGCCUGAACUGGACAGAUGUGGGGGCGGGGAGGGAUGACACUGCCUGGGUCGUGAUUCACCAUGAAGAGCCCUUGACUCUAAUAGGUAUGAUCCAAAAACAUUCAGAUACGUUUAUGAACUUCAGUUUUGAAUAAAAAAGGGAUUGAAACUGUUC